AGUGGUUUCAACGCAGAGGACGCGGGGUUGUUAGAACAGUCAAACCACCAACUUGACUGCCAAAGAACAAUAACAGGAAAAACCUAAUAUGG
Gopherus evgoodei (Goodes thornscrub tortoise) is the source of this 92-nucleotide long non-coding RNA. RefSeq lists it as uncharacterized. The transcript is spliced from 4 exons. NCBI's taxonomy places the organism in Eukaryota, Metazoa, Chordata, Testudines, Testudinidae. The record is from RefSeq and is a predicted model, not a curated record.